CAGGACAUUGCGCAGGAAGCGCCAACGACAAAACGGAAAAUCAGGGAAUCCACCACGGAUGGUGGCUCGCAAGGACGUCAGGAUAUCGGUCUGCAAAGCCCCGCUUCGGCGGGGUUUU
This 118-nucleotide small RNA is filed under the name Pseudomonas jinjuensis. Lineage: Bacteria; Pseudomonadati; Pseudomonadota; Gammaproteobacteria; Pseudomonadales; Pseudomonadaceae. The record is from RNAcentral.